AUGGAGCCCGAGCAGCCGGCGGCCGACCCCGCCGCCGCCGAGCCGGAAGACGAGGAGGAGGAGGAGGAGGAGGAGGAGACGGAGGCGCCCGACGCGGAACAGGAGGCCGCGGAGGACGAGGAGGACGCGCUGCUCGACCGCGCGCAGGCCCUGAUCUCCCGCGUCGUCGAGCAGGAGAGCAACCCCAACCCGCGCCUCAUCCACACCCUCGCCACCAUGUGCGAGGUCCAGGAGGCCAGGCACCUGCAGGAAUGCGCUAGUGAUCCGUCCUUCAAUAACACAAACACAAGGGGCUCCCAUACUAUAGGCAAGCUGGCGAGUUUGAUCAGGGAGAAUGAUGAUUUCUACGACCUAGUGUUUUCUAAGUUCUUGUCAGAUACAUCGUACCCUUUGCCAGUACGCUGUGCUUCUGCUAGGCUGCUCCUAAGCAUCCAGGAUGCAUUUUCGCCUCAGUUUUCUCAUCCUUUUGAAGAUGCUACCCUAGAAAAUAUAAAAUCCUGGAUAAAGGAAGAUGGUGAAGCAUCGGAUGAAUGUGAUUGGAAGCAUCUAGGAAGUGGUAAAAAACCCACAGAUACUGAGAUGAUGAGAACAUAUGCUAUUGGGUUGCUCUCGAUGGCGUUGUAUGGUGGUGGGCGUUUGGUAGAAGAUGUCUUGAACAUGGGAGUAUCAGCCAAGCUCAUGCGUUUUCUGCGAAUACGAGUCUUUGGUGAUGCCACAUCUCCAGAGAAAGAUGCCAAUCUUCCACUAGAUACCAAGCAUCCUCGGGGUAGAGAUGAGAAUAGGGGCAAAGUACGAUUGCUUCAAGACAGUUCUAUACUGGACGGAACAAGGGCUGGAGAUGGAAUAUCGACUGACCCAACUUUGGAAAAACAGUUUGAUCGUGAUGUUGGGAUGAGGCAAGCACACGGAGAACAGGGGAUGGAUGACACUGGUUACCUGCUACGUGAUGAUGUUGAUUCUACAAUGGAUCCUUUUGAUGCAAAGUCAGUCGAUGGGGAAAAGUAUCCUGCAGGUGAAAGCCUGAGAGAUGAACUCUUGAAGAGAAAGUUCAGCCGUACAGGAUCUCGACUAAGAGGGAAAAUCAAACCAGGUGAAGGCUUGCCUGAAAGUGAACGGACACCUUUAUCGCCAACAGGAUUGAGAAUGGGAAGUCGGACUAGCAAAGAAAAGAAUGCGGCUAAGGUCGAGGACCCAAAGAAAGCAAUCGAUUUGAACAAUAGCUCUGCAGCCCCCGAGUCUGAUAUUCUUAGUAUUUCUAAAGAAGAGUAUGAGGACCGGUUCAGGGAUUGCAUUAUCGGCUUGAAGGAUAUAACUGACAUUGUCUUGAAGGCAGUGAGAGCUGCAGAAGCGGAAGCCAGAUCAGCGAAUGCUCCUGAGGAAGCUGUGAAAGCAGCAGGUGAUGCUGCUGCUGAGCUUGUGAAAUCUGCUGCUUUAGAGGCUUGGAAGAGUGAAAAUAGUGGCGAUGCCGUUGUAUUAGCCGCUGAGAAAGCUGCAGCUACUGUAGUCGAUGCUGCCAUGUCCACUAGCGUCUCAAGAAGCUCUGACCAGGUUAAUGAGGAGCAUGUUGUUGAAGAAGCUGUGAAAAUUAGUGAGGACCAGGAUCUGGAAGAUUUUGUUAUCAUUGACCAGGAGCAGCUCUUGCUACUUAGGGAAAAAUAUAGCAUUUUGUGCUUGCAGUAUCUUGGAGAGUACGUUGAAGCUUUGGGUCCUGUUCUUCAUGAAAAAGGUGUUGAUGUUUGCCUCGCAUUGCUGCAACGGGGAAUCAAAGACCAGGAGGGAUGUGGCCACGUUUCACUACUUCAUGAAAUUCUUAGAUUGAUUUGUGCCCUGGCCGCACACCGGAAAUUUGCUGCGCUAUUUGUUGACCGGGGUGGUAUUCAGAAGAUCCUCUCUGUCCCUAAGAUUACUCAGACAUACACUGCUCUGUCUGCAUGCUUGUUUACUUUCGGUUCUCUCCAGUCUACCAUGGAACGUGUUUGUGCGCUUUCACCUGACACACUCAACAAUGUGGUUGAACUAGCGCUGCAACUCUUAGAAUGCCCACAAGAUGCAGCUAGAAAAAAUGCAGCCAUAUUCUUUGCUGCUGCAUUUGUGUUCAAAGCUGUUCUGGAUUCAUUUGAUGCACAGGAUGGGAUGCAAAAACUUCUGAAUAUAUUACAAGUUGCUGCAUCCGUAAGGUCGGGUGGUAACUCUGGAGCAUUAGGAUCCUCCAAUGCGAAUCAAGGGAAUGACCGAUCGCCUGCUGAAAUUCUGACUCAGUCAGAAAAGCAGGUCGCGUAUCAUUCAUGUGUUGCACUACGUCAAUAUUUUAGAGCUCAUCUCCUUCAGCUUGUUGAUUCCAUCCGGCCAAGCAAGAGCAUCCGUAGUAUUGCUCGGAAUACUUCCAGUGCAAGAGCUGGUUACAAACCUUUUGACAUCGGCAACGAGGCUAUGGAUGCUAUUUUUCGUCAGGUCCAGCGGGACAGAAAGUUAGGACCUGCUCUCGUAAGAGCUCGCUGGCCCGUGAUGGAUAAAUUCUUGGCCUCUAAUGGUCAUAUUAUCCUGCUAGAAUUAUGCCAGAGUCUACCUGCUGAUCGGUAUCUUCAUGACUUGGCUCAGUAUGCAUUUGGAGUUCUUCACAUCAUAACUCUUAUGCCACACAGCCGCAAAUUGAUGGUGCAUGCUACAUUAACUAACAACCGUAUUGGUAUGGCUGUUAUACUAGAUAUAGCAAACAGUGUUGUUGGCUAUGUUGAUCCUGAGGUGAUUUGUCCAGCAUUGAAUGUGCUUGUCAAUCUUGUAUGCCCCCCUCCAUCGAUCAGCAACAAGCCGUCCUCAGCUGUUAAUCAGCAGCCUGCAGGAAGUUAUUCAGAGAGCAGAGACAGGAAUGCUGAAAAAAGCACUUCAGAAAGAAAUGUUGCAGCGAACCAAAGUGAAUCUCGGGAACGAUAUGGCGAUGGCACACCUGUUGUGUCAUCUGGAGUUGUUGGUGACAAGAGAAUAUCGCUAGGUGUAGGAGCUGGGGGUCCUGGUCUUGCUGCUCAAUUGGAACAAGCUUAUCGCCAAGCUCGAGAAGUAGUCAGAGCCAAUAAUGGUAUAAAGAUUCUUUUGCAGCUUCUUGGCACUCGGAUGGUUACACAUCCUUUGGCUAUUGAUCCUAUUCGAGCCCUUGCCUGUCGUGUACUGCUUGGCUUGGCUAGAGACGAUGCUAUUGCACAUAUACUGACGAAGCUCCAGGUAGGGAAGAAAUUAUCAGAACUUAUUCGUGAUACGAGUACCCAGUCAUCUGGAGGUGAUAAUGCAAGAUGGCUAAAUGAACUGACCCAAGUGGCAAUUGAGCUCAUUGCGGUCUUGACUAAUUCUGGUAAAGAAACAACCUUAGCAACUGAUGCUGCUGCUCCAGCGUUGAAGCGCAUUGAGCGAGCUGGCAUAGCAGCUGCUACUCCUGUCUCUUACCAUUCCAGGGAACUGAUGCAACUGAUACAUGAACAUCUCGUUGGAUCUGGUUUGGCUGCUACUGCUGCCAUGUUGCAGAAGGAGGCUGACCUUGCACCUUUGCCAUCAACUGCUGCAGUGCUACCUGUCCACCAGCCCGCUGCCCUGGAACCAUCAUCUGUUCAAGUUCAACAACAGUGGCCUUCUGGCCGUGUUCAGGGAUUUCUGUCCGACAAAACAAUGAUUGCUGCAGAUCAAGCUGGCCAACGAUCAGAUUCUGUUGUGCCUUCGUCUAAGAAGAAGGCACUGGUAUUCUCAUCCAGUUUCUCUAAACGAAAUCAACCCUUUGUUUCGUUUUCUGGUAAUAGAGCAAGCAAUAGCCUGAAAAGUCCUGUACCUGCCGGAAAUGUGGACGGUAUGACUUGCUCUGCCUCUGCUGCCAAUACUGGAGAUGUGGAGACAUCGCAUAAAACACCAAUGCCCUUGCCACUUAAGAGGAAGCUUGCGGAUAUGGAGUUUAGUUCUGCAUCAGCAGCAAAGCGCCCUGCAAUAAUGGAUCAAGCAUCCCAAUCUCCUGUGUUCCAAACUCCUGCUCCUACUCGCAGAGGCCUCUCUGUGGCAGUGGAUUCUCCUACUGCAGCAUUUCAUCCAGGAAGGACAAACUUCAACAACAUUUCCACUGAGAACUUUGAAGAUUCUCAAUGCACACCUGGAGUGGUAACAGGCACACCACAUCUUGGUGUAAAUGAUCAACAACCAGGAACUUCGGAGCGCAUGACGCUCGACUCAUUGGUUGUACAAUAUUUGAAACAUCAACACCGCCAAUGUCCUGCUCCAAUAACAACUUUGCCGCCAGUCUCUCUGCUGCACCCUCAUGUUUGCCCCGAGCCUAGCCGCAGCAUUAGUGCACCAGCAAAUGUAACUGCUCGCAUGGGAAGCCGUGAGAUAAACAGGGAGUUUAGCGGGAUCAAAGUGCCCCGCAGGGAUCGCCAAUUUAUAUACAGCAGGUUCAAGCCAUGCCGUGUUUGCCGUGAUGAGGCCUCGCUGUUGACUUGCAUGACUUUUAUUGGAGGUGCAUCAAGGGUGGCGGCUGGGAACCAUAGUGGUGAAUUAAGAAUAUUUGACAGCAACCUUGCAAAUCUCAUAGAGACGCACACUUGUCACCAAAAUCUUGUUACUAUGGUGGAUUCAACAUCUAUUGGUGGAACUGAGCUGAUUCUCUCAUCUAGCAUAGAUGAGGUUAAGCUCUUUGAUGCUUUCUCACUGCAUACGGGGCCUUUGCACACAUUUGAGAACUGCAAAGCUGCCAGGUUUAACCAUGCUGGGACUUUAUUUGCCGGCCUUUCUACGGAUGCAAAUCACCGGGUGGUUCUAUUGUAUGAUGUCCAGACGCAUAAUGUUGAUAUGCAGCUUCCUGAUAACUCCAGCCUGCCAGGUUCAGGCCGGGGUGUACAACCCAUUAUACAUUUCAGUCCUUCAGAUGAUAUGUUGCUGUGGAACGGGGUCCUGUGGGAUAGACGAAGUCCCACUCCUAUCCAUCAGUUUGACCAGUUCACAGACUAUUGUGGCGGUGGCUUUCAUCCAGCUGGAAACGAGGUGAUUCUAAAUUCAGAGGUGUGGGAUCUGAGAAAGUUUAAGCUUCUGAGGAGUGUCCCAUCCCUGGACCAGACAGUAAUCAAAUUCAAUGGAAGUGGUGAUGUUAUCUAUGCUAUCCUCAGGCGUAACCUUGAGGAUGUAACAUCAUCCAUCCAAACCCGGAGGGUCAGACAUCCCCUGUUCCCUGCAUUCCGCACGAUCGAUGCUGUCACUUACGCAGACAUUGCAACUGUCCAAAUAGACCGUGGCGUCCUCGACCUUGCCACUGAGCCCAAUGAUUCCCUUCUCGGAGUUGUUGCCAUGGACGAUCCUGACGAGAUGUUCUCCUCUGCUCGCAUAUUCGAAGUUGGCAGGAAACGACCAACUGAUGAUGACUCGGACCCGGAGGAUGGAGGGGACACGGAGGAUGAGGAUGAUGACGACGACGACUCGGACGUGGAUGUCCUCCUCGGGACCGAUUUAGGGCUUGGGGACACGGAUUCUGAGGAUGAUCCAAGUAACAGCAGCGGUGAUGAUGGCGGUGACGAUGAAGACGAGGAGGAUAUGGACAGUGGGGAUGAAAACGAUGACGACGAUGAGGAAGGUGACUUUGAUGUGGGAGGGGGCUUGCUGGAGAUGAUGGGUGGCGGGGAUGGUGAUGAGAGUGGUGACAUGAUUGAGUCCUUCAGCAGCGGUGAGGAUGAAGGGUGGCUCAUGUGA
RNAcentral lists this ribosomal RNA (5709 nucleotides) under Triticum aestivum (bread wheat). RNAcentral describes it as "partial small subunit ribosomal RNA". Lineage: Eukaryota; Viridiplantae; Streptophyta; Magnoliopsida; Poales; Poaceae. The record is from RNAcentral.